AAUUCUCAACCUUGCAAGCUUUUUUGCUAGUGAGGCUUGGAUGUGAGGGCUUUUGCUGGCUUCCUUCAUUGGAUGGUCUGCUCCCUUUAAAUUCAUUAGUGGAUUCCUUUGUGGAUGGUCACUUGGUGUGAUAAUUAUCUACGCCGCCUGACUCUGACACAAGACUUGUGGGGACCUGCUUAUAACCGUCUCGUUCAAGAGACAAUCUACAUUGACU
This 217-nucleotide unclassified non-coding RNA is filed under the name uncultured Mycena. Its description in RNAcentral is "partial internal transcribed spacer 2". Lineage: Eukaryota; Fungi; Basidiomycota; Agaricomycetes; Agaricales; Tricholomataceae. The record is from RNAcentral.